AUUUGAUUUCCCUUUUCUCUUUAUUCUGACCUCUCUUUUUCUCUCUCCUCUAAUUCCCCUUCCCCAUAAUUAGCUACUAUAUUUUCCUUUCCCCAUUUUCGGUGCUUGGUUGUUUCAUUUUACUAAAGUUUGACCUCCUAUUUUCUCUCUCCUCUGAUUCCCUUUCCCCACAAAUGGCUACUGUAUUUUUUCCUUUUCCAUUUUUGGUUGUUGCUUGUUUUAUUUUGGCACCAUUUUUGCUUGUGCUAGUUAUGGAAAUGAAGGAAGUUUCACUAUUGUUGAUUGUAUUGUUACCUAGUCGUGGCCCUUUAUCAGCAGUGACUUGUUUUUGUUGUGGUUGUUGAUCGCUGGAAAGAACUGUGAUGAGGUUAGUCUUGCCACUGGUCCAAGAAACCUUGGCCUUGGUGGCGGCUUUUCGUUGCUUGAGCUCCUCCCACCACUCCGGGUACCCGAUUAGUUUAAAGCAUCCAUCCUUGGUAUGACGUGAGCCACCACAAUGACUACAUUUGAGAAAACUUCGAUCUUCACGCCAGGAUGAAGAAUUUUCCGACCGGUGAUGAACAACCAUACCACUACAAAUCUCUGAGGGACCUCGUCCCGAUGAUGAGUCGCCACCCAUAAUACCUCGGCAUGUGAUUUCACGUCGUUUGGUAGCAUAUACGGCGUCAAGGGUUGGUAGAGGAUCUUGGUGGAAAAAAGAACACAUUUAGUACUAUCACCAUCUCCAUCUUCUUUUGGUGUUUGAAGUUGGAUUUUGAAUUUUGAUUGAAGAAUUGCUCAUCAAGGAAGUCGAUUCGUGACGGGAAGUUGAUAGGUUCAUUUAAGAUUUGCUUUUGCUUUCUUAAGUGAGUUAAGUUGCAGGCUGGGGAGUGAGGAUUACAUCUGAAGAAUAAAAGAGAUAGAGUACGAAAGGAUUUUAAUUUCGAACUUUAUUAGCUUUUUAGAAAUGGAUUUAUUCAAGAGGCGACUUCGCUCUCGAGAUGUACUCCUUGGACUUUUGGUUUCAUAUCUUUUAUCCGCUGCUAAGACUACGAUAUCACUAAUUAAUCUACAAUAACUCAAGUAGAACUCGAUCCGCAAGUUUUAACUUUAAAAAUUUUGUUUUCUCGUGCCUUUAUGACAUCUUGCUUAAACUCGAGUCCUGCUUGGUUUUCUUUUAAAAUAUAAAAAUCUCUCUUUUAACGAUCCGAGUUUUUUCCGGGAUGUUACAGUAGAUCUUCGAGUCGCGGUCGUAUGGGCACUUUAAUCGCUCCAAAAUGAGUUCGUAUGAGAGAGUUAUGUUCAAAAUAGUGAAAUACCAACAGGCUGUCAUGAAAAUCAAUAAUAAGCUUUCUGUUUUGCCAUUUUCGGGGUCGUUUUGAUUGUUUCUGGGUUUUAGUGUCUCAUAAGAAUAGUAGAUCUCUGAGUCAUGGUUGCGUAGCCAUUUGAAUCGCCUCUAUACAAGUUCUUGUGAGGAAGUUAUGACCGAAUUACUAACAGGUGUCCUGAUAUGGUACUAAAAUGGAAUUUAUUAAGUAGGAACUAUAAAAUGAAUUGGAUGUUUAAGGUUAUUUAUUGGGUAUUUGAGAUUAAUUUUAGGGUUAUUAUUCUCCCUUUAUUGAUUGGUAUUUUAAAUGAUGAUGAAUUGAUUUAUAUUUUAAGUUAUGAUUGUGAUUUCAAAAGAAAAUUUAGUGAAUUCUUGUUUUGUUUUAUAAUAAAAUAUUCGACAUUAAAAAAUGUCCGUUUUUGGGAAUUGGCAACGGGAAUUUAUAUCCGGAUUAUUGUGAAAUUUUAUAGCUUGAUAAAAGGUAAUGGUUAUUCGGAUCGGUCUCGAGCCCCCGAUCCCGUUUCGUUCUUGCAAGAACUGUAUUUUCGGUGAUGACGAUCACCGUGUUCUCAGGAUUUAGAUCAAGCCUACUUCCUGACGGUUCAUUAUAUUCCCACAUUUUAAACUGUUAUUACAUUAUUGUUUUUAAUGAGUUUUGAAUAAAUAUGUUAGGUAUAUAAAGUUUUGUCUGUUUUACAAUGGAAGCAUAUGUUUCAUUUGCCGUAUUAUUUCGCUAUUAACUUGUAAAGUUAUAGCCGUAUUUUGAUUCGUUAUGAACUAAAGGUUCAUAGCCGUAUUUAUGUCGAUACCAAACGAUCUUUUAAAAGAGUUUGGACUUGGAUAAAAUAAUGUUUAUAAAUGGUUACCAAGUAAACAAGGAAUUUUAUUGAAGAUGUUUGUUAAUGACUUGUAUAUAAAUGUAAUAGUUUGUUGGAUUACUCAACAAUUCAAUUGUUGACAGUUUAUGAUGGGGCCUAUCUCUUACAGGGGUUAGGUCCACUUUCAGGUUGCCAACUUUAGUGCGGAUGGAUAUGAUGCUCCUUUAUGUGUCAUGUGUUGCGAUAGCGAGGACAUUGUUUUUGGAAAGUUAACUUAUCAUGAUAUUUUGACAAAUCAUGUGUUAUAAAGUUAACUUAGUUUAUAACUGGAAAAGAAAUUGAAGAACACUUGCUGCUUCCUUACACACUUACUGCUUCUCUCUCAUUCACGCAUCCUGCUACUGGUAUACUCAAAUCGAAGAACAUUGCUUCUGCUGCUGGUAUACUCAAAUCGAAGAAUGUUGCAGCUGGAAUUCUUCUCUGAUUAUUGCUUGAUGUUUUAAUUAAAAACGUUUCUGAACUGGAAAAUGGAUGAAAUUUUGUUUCCAUUUACUCGAAAACGGAUGGAAUAUUCACUGCUGUGAAUAUUGCUUGAUGUUAAUUAAAAACGUUUGUUCACAUGAAAAUGGAUGUAAUUUAGUGUUUUUUGCUUGUUUUUAGGCUAAUGUGAAUGACUCAAUUACUUUGAAGUUUUGGUAUGGUGGGGUAUUAAAAAAAGGAGUUGUGGGGUUUGAGUAUGUGUAUAGGAUAUGUAAAAACAUCUACAUAUCCCAGAUAAGAUGUCCUUUUUUGAGUUAGAAGGAAUUGUAAAGGAGGAUCUUGGGGCAAAACAUAAGUUUUGUCUUUGGUAUCAUCUACCUAAUACUGUUACCUUUUUGGAAGGGUUAAAGAGAGUUACCGA
Amaranthus tricolor (Joseph's coat) is the source of this 3025-nucleotide long non-coding RNA. RefSeq lists it as uncharacterized. The record is from RefSeq and is a predicted model, not a curated record. The transcript is spliced from 5 exons. NCBI's taxonomy places the organism in Eukaryota, Viridiplantae, Streptophyta, Magnoliopsida, Caryophyllales, Amaranthaceae.